This is a long non-coding RNA of Pongo pygmaeus (Bornean orangutan), 2487 nucleotides long. RefSeq lists it as uncharacterized. The record is from RefSeq and is a predicted model, not a curated record. The transcript has 5 exons. NCBI's taxonomy places the organism in Eukaryota, Metazoa, Chordata, Mammalia, Primates, Hominidae.
AGUGACCAGUGUCCUUGUAAGAAGAGAAGAGACAGAUAUACACAGAGACACCUGGAAGGCCGUGUGAAGACAGAGACUGGGAUCGAUUGGAGUGAUGCUGCCAAGAGACAAGAAACACCCAGGGCUCCAUGAACCUAAGAGGGCAUGUGUUUCUCAUUCUACAUGUGGUGUGAAGAUUACAGAAGAGAAAUGCGAGCACCUACAAUAAAUACUACAUGAACCCAGAGAUGCACAAAGGCCCCUGGACAUUAACAGAUUCUACAUUCUUAUUGAACAGUGCUGGAAUAAUAAAGUGAGAUGACUGAUUCCAAAUGAGAAAAUGAAAUUCUUUCAGUUUGUCCCGUCAUUGCUGUAAAAUGGCUGUAGCUGGGAAGAAAUUCACCCACAGCAACGCACAAAGGACAUGAAGAGAGGACUGUCUCCUUCUUGUGUGUUUCCUUCAGCAGCAGCAAAAUGUUUCCAGACCCUCACUUCCUCCUUCACUGUCAGAAAAAUCUUCUCUUGUUUGCUUUUGACUAGAAUUGCACCAUAUGCUCAUUUUUUAAACAACCACAGGCAAAUGAGCUGUGGCAGCUUGGUUCCAGCAUGCAGCACCUACUUCAAAUGGUUUUCCAGAGAAAUGCCGGUGUGUCUCCAGCUGCAGCUGCCGCUCCUGCAUGGUUUGUGUUUUCUCUGAUGCUCAGGCACCAAAUGCUUUAGCCUCUGAGGACAGCAGAGAGGAGGAAACAAAACAGUCAUGUUGUCUGUGUAACUGAAAGAGCAGCCACUAACAUUCAGCAGGAGAGAGUGCCUUCUAAAUACAUUUGUAAAAAAUACUUCUCUUUCUAUUCCUUUAGCUAAAUAUGGUGUGUGUGGUGCCUGAGUACUCUCCAGUAGGAUGUGUAGCUCAUCUGUCUAUCAUCUGCCUAUUGAGAGAGAUUUUAAGGAACUGGCUCACAGGAUGAUGGGGGCUGGCCAGUCAGGGUAAGAACACAAGCUGGAGUCCCAGGAAGAAGAUGUUGCAGUUUGAGCCCAAAAGCCGUCCGCUUGGUCGAAUUUCCUCUUUGGGGGAAAAGCACUCUUAGUUCUAAUAAGGCCUUAAUUGAUUGAAGGAGGCCCACCCACACUGUGGAGGGCAGUCUGUUUACUAAAAUUCCACUGGUUUAAAUGGUAAUUCCAUCUGAAAACACCCUCCCAGAAACAUUUAGAAUAAUGUUUGACCAAAUAUCUGGGUAUCCAUGUCCCAGUCAAGUAGACACAGAAAAUUAACCAUUACAUGUGGCUUAGCCUACAUUUAAGUGAAGACUUUCAUCAUUUUUUAAAGUCCCAGAUCCAUUGAGCAAAACAGGUCUUUUGAGCCAUGUUUUUGCUGUCAUGAAAGCAGGGAUAAACCAUCUUUACCUGCCACCGAUGAGCUUUGCAAAGAUUAAGAGAGUUUUUGAGCAAAUAAACUCAUCCUAUACAGAAUGUGAGCCAAAUCCUCAGACAGCCAGGUGUUCACAGGUAAAAUAGAGCUAAUCUCAAAACAUCUACUUUUUGAAUGUUUUUAUAUUAGCAAUAAAAUAAUAAUCCAUCCAUUCACCCAUGUAAUUUCUUAUAUUUUAUUUUUUAGGCAAGCAAAAAGGAUGUGUGAUAUAAAAUAUUGUCUUCCAAUUAGACGUUGAAAUGCACAAAAUGUAAGGAUUGAAAUGUCACUAAAUCAAAUGUUUAACAUCUUUAAGAACCUUGGUACCCAGUACCCACCAAGGCUACUCGUGGUGUGGAAACUUUCAAAGUAAGCCUGCUGUUUAAACACAUGCUACUUUUACAAAGAAGUUGCUGUCAAUUUUACUUUGAGGAGUGUAGCUAUUUUUAAAUAAGAUCUCAAUAGAAUUCCUAGCCGCAUGUGGCUGAGACUUGUCUGGAGAUGACGUGCUUCUCCAGCUGUUGUAAGAGGAUAACUUUUCAAAAUGCCCACCUCACUUCUCUUUUUGAGCCUCUCUCUAGCCUGGAAGGGUUUCUUAUUUGAUUAUGAUGCUCUAGGUAGUUUGUCAGCUGAAGGAGAGCUUCAUGUGUUGAAGACAAAAGAGGUUACUGCACUUAGGACCCUUGAUUACAAAAUGAAUUGAAAAGCCACCGUCUUCUUGUUACAGGACUGCUUAACCAUAACGAUUCUCUUUCUGAUCCUUUACUUUAGCUAUUUUCUGCCAAAGCAAAGGGUGAUGCCUAUCUGCCUGCAGUUCCUCACCUUAUCACUCACUAUAAUCCAUUCCUGUGCCGCAAUGCCGUCUGCAAGACAGGCUGCUGCCUUUAUGGCUGCUGCUAGGGGACAACAAGGUCAUUAUUUUCAUGGCCAGUUUUGCUGUAUGUUUUAAAACAAUAUUCAUGGUAGCCUACUACUCUGUAUCUAUUUAUCCAGGGUGAUCAACAAAUAUGAGGCAGGAAAAAGAUACAUCAAUAUCAAUGAUGUCAGAGUGGUGUUCAAAUACGAUAGAACAAUAUGCUUGACAUGAAUUUCCUUACAAUAUG